Molecule: small nuclear RNA, 182 nt
Organism: Myotis daubentonii (Daubenton's bat)
Lineage: Eukaryota; Metazoa; Chordata; Mammalia; Chiroptera; Vespertilionidae
Product: U2 spliceosomal RNA
Exons: 1
Source: RefSeq, a predicted model, not a curated record
GUCGUGUCUCUGCCUUUUGGCUAUGAUCAUGUGUAAUAUCUGUUCUUAUCAGUUUAAAAUUUCCUCAAUCAAAAUAUCAAGGCUAGAACCCAGCUACACAGCUUUAAUCCCUUUGCAAGGAAGACUGAGAAAAGUGCUCUAUGUCCUCAGAAACAGGAAAAUAAUUUUUUUAUACAUUUUUU